Molecule: ribosomal RNA, 506 nt
Filed under: uncultured bacterium
Lineage: Bacteria
Description: partial 16S ribosomal RNA
Rfam family: Bacterial small subunit ribosomal RNA
Source: RNAcentral
AGUGAACGCUGGCGGUAGGCCUAACACAUGCAAGUCGAACGGCAGCACAGGAGAGCUUGCUCUCUGGGUGGCGAGUGGCGGACGGGUGAGGAAUACAUCGGAAUCUACUCUGUCGUGGGGGAUAACGUAGGGAAACUUACGCUAAUACCGCAUACGACCUACGGGUGAAAGCAGGGGGCAUUCGGGCCUUGCGCGAUUGAAUGAGCCGAUGUGGGAUUAGCUAGUUGGCGGGGUAAAGGCCCACCAAGGCGACGAUCCGUAGCUGGUCUGAGAGGAUGAUCAGCCACACUGGAACUGAGACACGGUCCAGACUCCUACGGGAGGCAGCAGUGGGGAAUAUUGGACAAUGGGCGCAAGCCUGAUCCAGCCAUACCGCGUGGGUGAAGAAGGCCUUCGGGUUGUAAGGCCCUUUUGUUGGGAAAGAAAUCCAGCUGGCUAAUACCCGGUUGGGAUGACGGUACCCAAAGAAUAAGCACCGGCUAACUUCGUGCCAGCCGCCGCAGUAA